AAAAAAUUGUUAUUGAAUCUAAGAAAUAAUUCCUUCCCUCCACCUUUCCACUCCCAGUAUAACCUCACGUUGCAUCUAAACCAUCUGUUCCAGCAGUGAAAUUGCAGGAUUUGGCAAAAUAUAUUCUCAACCCAUCACCUCUGGUCUACAAAGACACCUCCAUUUUUUAAAUGCUCAACGCAUUUUUGGUCAACAUUAUAUAUUUUGGCAUUUAAUACAACAAUCAUAGGCAGCUUCAGAAUUCAACUUCAACAAUAAGGAAAGAAAUGAAAAUUAAAAUGUUAAUGCAAUAACUAUCAAGUUGACAAGCUAAAAAGACAACAAUAAUAUUUGUAGCAAGCAGGAAAAAAAACACACUGUAUGAAAGUGUGAUUGUUACACACUUUUCAAGACAACCUGAGAGUUCAAGUCAAAAGCCUUAAAAUGUGCAUGGCUUUUUGACACAGAAAGUCCUUAGGCUAAAUUCUAAAAAAUUAUCUAAGACUGAGACAAAGAUUGAUCUGCAAAAAUAUUCAUCACAAUAUUGGUUAUAACAGCAAAAGUUGGAGGGGGGUGAUAUCCUAAAAGUUUAGCCAUGUAAUUGGGUAGAAUUAUAGUAAAUCCCAAAGACAGAAUACUUGACAACCAUUACAAUUACUAUAUAGGAGAAUGUUUAAUAACACAGAAAAUAUUAUUCAUAUAGUUUUGUAAAAAACAGAUUCUUAGCAUAAUCCAGUUUGGAGGCUAGACAACCUAUACACCACCUUGUCUGCAGUGAUCUGUACACCACCUUGUUUGCAGGAUCAUGAAUCAUUUUUAAUCUUUGUUUUUUCUAUAUUUUCUAAACUUUCAACAAUGAUCAAACAUAAGUAUUUCUGUAAUCAGAAAAAAUAUGUUAUAAAACAUGUAGUCUUGUAGCGUUCGAAGAAGUAGUACAGCAGAGUUUAAAAAGCAUUUUGGCUUUGAUAGUAGAAAAACUGGGUUAAAUUCCAACUCUGCCACUUAUCAUCUUUGUCUUUGGGAAGUCCUUUAAAGGCCCUGAGUGUCCGUUUUCUAAUCUGUAAAAUGGGAAUAAUAAUACCUUGUAUUACAGGGUGACAGUGAGGGUGACCAACAGAUAAUGUGUAUGAAAGGACCAGAACGGCACCUGAAUGCUAACACACAGAUAUUAAGGGGACCUUUAACGAGGUAGAGAUGCUGACAGAAACCAACCCUGGGGAGAAGACGUUCCCUGUAUUUCUUUUCACGUAAGUCAUUAUCUGAUUUUGAUUUCAGUCUGAGUGCAGGCUUUUGAAAGCACCCAAUUGUGCCAAGAUGGAAUUUACAUGUUGAAAGCAGAUCCACUCAGUAUGAAAGAGGUUAUACAAAAGUAAGUUGCCCCAUGUAGUAAUCAAACUAGAAAAGGGCAGGUCUAUGGAAGCCACCUAAUUGGCAAAAGAAAGUCCAGCCCAGCAAUUAGAGAACACCACCCACACGGUUUGGACGGACCCCACCUGGCUGUUUUCCUACUGCAUGAAAAAAAAAUCCCCAAAACAAUUAGACCAUUUUCUAAAUGGAAUAAAACAUUCCAGCACAAGCAAUAAUUAGGAGAUAACUACCCUCUUGGCUGCUUUCUGCACUCAACCUCUGGCCCCUUGCCUUCCAGCACACCUGAGACAUGCAAUUAUCUCAGAACCACUCUCCAUCAGGAGCUGCCCAUUCACAUGCACCCUGUGGCCUUCCUCCUAGGAGCCCUCUCCCCAUUUAUUCUUAGAGCCAGUUUAGUCCCGUUGGUCCAGAGAAGCCAGAGAGCUCCUUGUCUAAGAGGUCACAUGCCUCCUUCUGCCUCUCGGAAGAACACCUAGGACACCAUCCACUUUUAUUAGCCGUGCCUGGUGACAGCCCUCCUCCAAACUCUGCAACGAGGUAUUCAGAUGUUCUGUUGCUGAGGGUGUUAAGACCGGAUCUUUUGCUUCCCUCCAAGCAGCCUGGGUAGGGGGCAGGGAAUGUCAGUGCAGGAAGGAACUCUCUCCUUCCCUCUACUUUUCAGAUAGGAAACUGAGCUGACAGAGUUUGUCAGUAUCAAAGAGCAAGCCAAGGGCAGAGCUGGGAUUUGAACACAAACCUCCUGACCAUUUGAGUCUAACAGUCUUAGCAGUAUUGCAUUCAGCAUAAUGCGCGAGGGAUAUGUAAAAUGGGCCACUGUUCUACGUCUGGUUAUUUAUUUGCAAUUACCCAACCUCCCAGCAGACUCCAGGCAGUAGACUUAUUAGUGGGGGUGAUCUUUGUUCCUUUUUCUCUGUCUCUCUCUGCAGCUUUAUAGGGCAGCGAGGGCCACAUAACUGAUGACUGUUUCCAUGAAGCUGAGAAACAAGUUUGGAUUCCCCAGCAUGAAUCUCCUCCCAGACACUGCUGCUCCCAUUAGCUGACUUUCUCAGCCUGAAGAUGUGAUGUUCCACUGGACCUCAGGCAAGGCCCCAAAUGCCAAGGCGCUGACUUGGAGAUGACUGGGGAGCAGGGACUGAGAAAGGACAAAUGCUCAGGGCUGUGCGGAGUCCCUGAAACUCAUAGAAUUCACUUUUGGCUUAUGUAUCCUGGCCUCCAAAUAUUUGGAUUCUCUGAAGACAUGGAUUUUGUGGCUAGGUAAUAAAAAUACUAAUAAUGAUAAUAAUAACGGCAAUAACAUCUCUUGGCUGUAUCCUAUAUGGCAGGUCCUAUUUACGUGUUUUACAGAGAUUAGCUCAGUUAAUAACACAACCCUACAAGGUACGUGUUAGGCCUUUUACUGGAGAGGAAACAGGCACACAGAGGUUAAGUAACCUGCCCAAGAUUACACAGAGAGCUACUGGUAACAAUUCAUGGAGUUGUUAACUAUUUGGGGACUUUUCAUGAGAAAGAUAAUGACCAUGAAUAGUGUGGGGCCCACGCAAUUCUGUCACUAGGAGAGAAAGGAGGUAUCUGUUUGGAUCCUCUCAUGGAAGAGAAUUGCAUUUUAGAGCUCAAAGAGACCACCAAAUAAUGAGGCUCUUUCAGCCUGUUGCAAAACACUGUGGGUCCUGCGGGAACUAAAGCCAACAGACAUGGAAUAGAGGGUGCGCAUCCCAUCUUAAAUAUGCAAGAUUAAAUUUACCCAACCCGCUAUAGGUUACCAAUGCUGACGGGUCAGAAUUCGUCAGAGAUGCUAUCUCGGUUCUGGCAAAGUUACCCUUGGCAGCCAUGUGAAUAAGUCUGAGAAUCAACUGCUAAUCUUUUUCCAGUUCCAAUUAGGUUACUAGCCUUGAGACAUCUUUAUUACUCAAUUAUCUUUUUCUUUUCCUCCCUGGUACCUAAACAGAUAGCCUUGAAAAGAGUUUUACUGGGAAACUAGAUGAAGCAAUCAGGAUCACAACACAGCCUUGCUAUUCCACUCUCUGCGCUGAUCCUAUAAAUUUCCCUGCUGCUGCCCUGACCGCUCCGUGAAAUAAUAAUACCAGUUUGCAGAUGUGUCUUCUGCACUUGACUGAGUACCUUUUUAUAAUUUUAUUUUCUGGUGGACAGGCUCAUGUCUUAUCUUUGCAUCUCCAUGGCCUGAUGAAUGUUAAAUGCUCAAUGAAUUAUCUCAAAAGUGAACUGACAGCUUGGGCCUCUUGGCUCCUAAAGGGACCUGAAGGUGACUGGCUUGCAGAAUGUUCUGAGGUUAGAUCUGCUAAGUUACUCUUCCAUUUUGGUUUACAUGGCAUUGAUACCCAUCAAUAACUGGCCCACAACCAUGCCAGCAACGCUGUUGCUGGUGAAAAACAAGUGACGUCAGAGACGAAGGCACACGCAUUGGCCCACGGGCACUGGGCGGUGCUGGCAGAGGAGGCUGCCUGUCGAUUCCUUAAUCAUCUGACUCACGAAAAGAUUGCUGAUAACCAAUUUAAACAAUGCCUCUGCUACUUAGGAGGCAUUGAUUUCAAUGCUGAUGACUGACGAGGAAGAAGGUGGGUGGUGGAUCUUGCACAGAAAGCAGUGAAGGGACUUGCCCAAAAUCAGCCAGGGAAGGGCAAGCAUGGGAACACGGCCGGGUGCUUCUCACUCUCAAGUCUAGUUCUUUAGAGACCAAUCCCCCAAAAGGUGUCCAUGUGUGCUUGGCACUGUAGAGUUUUUGGAAGACUAUUUAACCGAAUCCAUUCUUCCUUCAAUUUCUUGGUUUUUUAUUUUAUUUUUAUUAUUUAUUUAUUUAUUUUAUUUUUAUUUUUUGAGACGGAGUCUUGCUCCGUGGCCCAGACUGGAGAGCAAUGGUGUGAUCUUGGCUCACUGCAACCUCUGCCUCCUGGAUUCAAGUGAUUCUCUGGCCUCAGCCUCCCAAGUCGCUGGGAUUACAGGCAACCAACACCACACCCAGCUAAUUUUGUAUUUUUAGUAGAGGCGGGACUUCACCAUGUUUGCCAGGCUGGUUUCAAACUCCUGACCUCAUGUGAUCCACCCACCUCGGCCUCCCAAACUGAUGGGAUUACAGGCGUGAGCCACCGUGCCGGGCCACUUCCUUCAAUUUCAACUUCUCCCGGCCACCUUCUCCAUUACCUCUCUUCUGAACUCCGAUGGGCUUAUAAAUCCGUAACAACCAGCACUUAAUUAUAACAUGCUCGGCAGCUACCUCCUGGGCCUUGUUUCUCUGACUACAUCAUAAAUUCCAUGAAGGCAAGGGUGAUAUUUUAUUUAAUUACUUCUUAUAGUGCCUAGGACAAGGAAUGGCUCACAAGAGACACAAAAUAUAUAUUUGCUGACUCAUGCAAUAUCCAUAUGUUUGAACACAUAACUGGCAUCUCUGUCUUAAUUCGUGGGCACUUCAUGAGCCAAGUCGCCUCCAUUUUGAAAACCCUUUCAUUUCAGGGUCAGGUCCCCCCAGAGGAAAUUACAAGAUUUGCCCAGGAAUUUCUUUUUUGGGAAUAUAAUAAUUGCUGCUUGUUGACUUUUUUCCUAAUUUUUCCCAUUGAUGUUCAUCUGCAAUUUACUUAUUUUGUUUUUUUUUUUCUCCUCAUUGUUAGCAGAAAAUAGCAAGGAAUAGCAAGAACUAAAAGCUUAAGAAAAAACAAUAUUGGACAAAACCACAACAUUGAGAAAACAUCUAUCCACUGACUUUUUUUUUUUCCUGAAAACUGGGGUUGGCAGAACCCCGUAGUUAUUUGAUUAUUGUGAAAAACAUCAUAUUUUAGCCCUGAAACACCAAGACAUAGGGCCUGUGACCAGACAGGUUAGCAAAUUAGAAUGUCAUCAUGAAGGCAUGGCAUGGACGAGAGGAGAAAGAGCCACUAACGUUUGGUGAGGGGGUAAGAAGCCUAUGGCAGGUGGCAUGGUGGCACCUGGGCUCCAGAGAACAGCAGGGCUUCUUCCCUUAUCGCCACCCCUCCUCGUUUUCUUUUGCUCUGGGCUUUGACCUUGUCUCAGUGGUUUACAAAGCUGAGAAAGGAAACACUCAACUACUUUGGAAAAUUUUGAUUUAAUAGUGCCCUUUUUAGUGAAAAGAAUAAAUGAUAAUGAAAUUGAGUUCCUCACAACGUAGGGAUGUAUCUAUUCUAAUACUUAAAAAUCAAAGAUGGAAAUAUUCAUUAGCUAGGCACUAGAGCAGGAUGAUGGAAACUGUGGUCAUCAUACCAGGCACUUCAGAAUAACCAGGGCUCUUGUUAACACGCACAUUCCCAGCCUUGGCCCAGACCUCUGGGACCAGAAUCCUGGGAGGGGGCCUAGAGUUCUGCAUUUAACCUGCUACCCAGGGGACGCUAAUGCCCACCAAAGUUUGAGGAUCACUGCGUUAGAGGACGCACAGCCAAAA
Molecule: long non-coding RNA, 5752 nt
Filed under: Homo sapiens (human)
Lineage: Eukaryota; Metazoa; Chordata; Mammalia; Primates; Hominidae
Description: HSALNT0365768
Source: RNAcentral